Long non-coding RNA from Sorghum bicolor (sorghum), 1287 nucleotides. RefSeq lists it as uncharacterized. Lineage: Eukaryota; Viridiplantae; Streptophyta; Magnoliopsida; Poales; Poaceae. The record is from RefSeq and is a predicted model, not a curated record. The transcript is spliced from 5 exons.
AUCGAUUGCUAUAUCCCCGAUGACGAACAAAGACGGAGAAGCAGCAGAUACUGGUCUCGUUGUACCGACAGAUAUUCAUGGGACAAGUCCUCCUUGUGACACAUGCCAGCCCCAGCCGCAGCAACGCCUCGCAGGACGACUGGCCUCGGAGUCGGAGUCGGAAUCCCACUCCCACGACCAGGACAAGGUAAUUGCCUAAUUGGGCCACUUCCAACUGCUUCUAUGUGUGGAUCUGGGGCUGGGGCUCUGGAUUAGCGGGCUGGCGAGACAAGGGCCGAAAGGAAAGAUGUCAGUCGGGCCCUGUCCUCAUCCUAACUCUUCCUCUUCCAUCUCCCUUCCCCUUCCCUGAGGGCGGACGCCAUGCGUGCGCGUGGUUAGGUUACUGGUUAGCUCUCAAGUCGUACGAUGAAAGGAGGUGGCGGCCGGCGUCGGUGAAGGCAGCAGCGGGAGCGGGGGCCGCGAGGCAGAGGACGCGGCCGCGGCGUAGAGACCGCGCGGUCGGGAAGGACCGCAACCGGGAGCAGGGGCAUGUCUCCGGAGUCCCGGCGCGGGGGGCCAACGGCCGCGGCGCGAGGCGGCAGGCGAUGGCCGUGGCCAUGGGAGGUGGAUGAGCGCUGGAGCCUGCGGGCUGCAGACGUUCGCUUGCCUCGCCGCGCUCUCUAUCCACCACCCCCACUGAUGAAAAAUGGGCUGGGUGAUCUGUGACUCCGACAAAAACGACAAAGUGAAAGAUAGAGUCAUUGCAGCCCUGAGGUGGUGUGAUCAGCUUGGUGAUCCUCCUGCUACCAUUGUUUGGGCCAACAGGAGGGCCAACAGGGCCAAGAGGCGGUUUAAAGGGUCACAUGACAUUAAAUGAAGUAUCAGAUCUUCCUUCCCAUUAGUAGAACAUUCUCUUCUAUGUAAUUUUGGGAGAUGCAUUUGUUUGAACUUGUGUCUCCUCUUAACCUCUACUUACGUGAUGUUGAUGCUAACGGCCCCUGGAGAAUGGAGGCCCCACGCAUGGUUCCUUACUAGUACUAGUAUGUCGUGUGGAAGUCAUACGUUGACUAGUAUAAUACGUACUAGCGUGUCAUCGUCAUACUUCACAACCUUGCGUCCGGCAGUCAUUGUUGCUGGUGUCUUCACCCGGUCAGUGACUUGCGGGUGGCAGCAUUUGUUGCUAGGACAAGACCUGAAUCGCUCGGUUAUUGGUUCCGUCCUGAUAUUAUAUAUACUGUAUAUAACACAUGAUCGAUCCGUUCGUGAGUUCACGCGGAUCAAAUCUAGACAUGUCCCUCUGUUGUACAA